This 256-nucleotide ribosomal RNA is filed under the name uncultured bacterium. Its description in RNAcentral is "partial small subunit ribosomal RNA". It matches the Rfam family "Bacterial small subunit ribosomal RNA", at positions 26 to 285 of the family's 1533-position model. The record is from RNAcentral.
AGGACGAACGCUGGCGGCGUGCUUAACACAUGCAAGUCGAGCGGAAAGGCCCUUCGGGGUACUCGAGCGGCGAACGGGUGAGUAACACGUGGGUGACCUGCCCCCUACUCUGGGAUAAGCCUGGGAAACUGGGUCUAAUACCGGAUAUGACUACAUGUCGCAUGGUGUGUGGUGGAAAGUUUUUUUCGGUGGGGGAUGGGCCCGCGGCCUAUCAGCUUGUUGGUGGGGUGAUGGCCUACCAAGGCGGUGACGGGUA